GGAUUAGAUACCCUGGUAGUCCACGCCCUAAACGAUGUCGACUGGGUGUUGGGGGAGGAGACUUCCUUAGUACCGUAGCUAACGCGUGAAGUCGACCGCCUGGGGAGUACGGCCGCAAGGUUAAAACUCAAAGGAAUUGACGGGGACCCGCACAAGCGGUGGAUGAUGUGGAUUAAUUCGAUGCAACGCGAAAAACCUUACCUACCCUUGACAUGCCCGGAACCCUGGUGAGAGCUGGGGGUGCCCGAAAGGGAGCUGGGACACAGGUGCUGCAUGGCUGUCGUCAGCUCGUGCCG
Molecule: ribosomal RNA, 296 nt
Filed under: uncultured bacterium
Lineage: Bacteria
Description: partial 16S ribosomal RNA
Rfam family: Bacterial small subunit ribosomal RNA
Source: RNAcentral